UAAGGGCGCACGGUGGAUGCCUUGGCACUAGAAGCCGAUGAAGGACGUUACUAACGACGAUAUGCUUUGGGGAGCUGUAAGUAAGCUUUGAUCCAGAGAUUUCCGAAUGGGGAAACCCAGCAUGAGUUAUGUCAUGUUAUCGAUAUGUGAAUACAUAGCAUAUCAGAAGGCACACCCGGAGAACUGAAACAUCUUAGUACCCGGAGGAAGAGAAAGAAAAUUCGAUUCCCUUAGUAGCGGCGAGCGAAACGGGAAGAGCCCAAACCAACAAGCUUGCUUGUUGGGGUUGUAGGACACUCUAUACGGAGUUACAAAGGACGACAUUAGACGAAUCAUCUGGAAAGAUGAAUCAAAGAAGGUAAUAAUCCUGUAGUCGAAAAUGUUGUCUCUCUUGAGUGGAUCCUGAGUACGACGGAG
RNAcentral lists this ribosomal RNA (417 nucleotides) under Staphylococcus aureus. Its description in RNAcentral is "partial 23S ribosomal RNA". It matches the Rfam family "Bacterial large subunit ribosomal RNA", at positions 12 to 422 of the family's 2925-position model. The record is from RNAcentral. Lineage: Bacteria; Bacillati; Bacillota; Bacilli; Caryophanales; Staphylococcaceae.